Bubalus bubalis (water buffalo) is the source of this 774-nucleotide long non-coding RNA. RefSeq lists it as uncharacterized. NCBI's taxonomy places the organism in Eukaryota, Metazoa, Chordata, Mammalia, Artiodactyla, Bovidae. The record is from RefSeq and is a predicted model, not a curated record. The transcript is spliced from 2 exons.
CUGGGACACGCCCCCAACAGGGCAGAUUUCCUGGACCCUCCAGGCAGGACAAUUCAGGAACGCUGAAAAUCGCCGUGGAGACCCUGCUCCAACUCCGUCUAUGUCAGCUAGUUAACACUCGGGAGUGCUGACUAUAUGGGAGAAGAGGAAUGUGAGGAUCCAGCUCCUUCUGGCCCCUGGACUCCCUGAAAGCUUCCGCAGGACAAGGCAUCAGGAGGAAAAAAGCGGGUAACCUGCCAUGUCUGGAGCCCCUACAACAUUUACAGGUAGCUCAUUAACAAAAAGUCUAAAACCUGGCAUUUACUGAGCAUUUAAGGAAAGCCUGACACUGUGUUAAGUUCUUUUAUACUCUACUUGAUCCAGUUAUUUAUCAGGUGUUAUAAUCACCAUUUUGCAAAUUAGAAAGUGAGAUUCAAUGAGAAUACAUGAUUUACCCAAGUUAACAAGAGUCAGAAAUUGAUGGAAAUAAAAACUAGUUCUGACUGUAGGGCCUGUGUUCUUAACCAUACCCACCACUAUGCUGGCUUUCUCUCUCUCUCCUUACAGUGGACUGGCCCCUGGCAAAGUGGAGUCCCUCGUCAAGGGGACGUUCUACAACCCGGUCCCAGUGCAAAACUGCCCUGCUCUUCUCUCUCCUGAAUUCAACAGGGUUUACAAGGUCUUCUUACUUCUCUGGUGUCUUCCAAAUCUUAAACCUGUACUGUAGUUUAAGUCAUCUUCCAAAUCCACAAACUUGACUUCACUGUCUUGCUCAAAACCUUUCAAUGGCUUAUC